CGGAGAUACACGAGUGGCGCACGGGUGAGUAACGCGUAUGCAACCUACCUUUAACAGGGGGAUAGCCCGAAGAAAUUCGGAUUAAUACCCCAUAACACUUACAUAACACAUGUUAUAUUAGUUAAAACUCCGGUGGUUAAAGAUGGGCAUGCGUGUCAUUAGUUAGUUGGUAGGGUAACGGCCUACCAAGGCUACGAUGACUAGGGGGUUUGAGAGGAUGAUCCCCCACACUGGUACUGAGACACGGACCAG
Molecule: ribosomal RNA, 252 nt
Filed under: uncultured bacterium
Lineage: Bacteria
Description: partial 16S ribosomal RNA
Rfam family: Bacterial small subunit ribosomal RNA
Source: RNAcentral